CAGUCGCCGCGGGAAUACGAAGGGGGCUAGCGUUGCUCGGAAUUACUGGGCGUAAAGGGAGCGUAGGCGGAUCGUUAAGUUGGGGGUGAAAGCCCGGGGCUCAACCCCGGAACUGCCUUCAAUACUGGCGAUCUUGAGUAUGAGAGAGGUGUGUGGAACUCCGAGUGUAGAGGUGAAAUUCGUAGAUAUUCGGAAGAACACCAGUGGCGAAGGCGACACACUGGCUCAUUACUGACGCUGAGGCUCGAAAGCGUGGGGAGCUAACAGGAUUAGAUACCCCCGUAGUCCCUGUCUCUUAUAC
Molecule: ribosomal RNA, 301 nt
Filed under: uncultured bacterium
Lineage: Bacteria
Description: partial 16S ribosomal RNA
Rfam family: Bacterial small subunit ribosomal RNA
Source: RNAcentral